AGUGAACGCUGGCGGUAGGCCUAACACAUGCAAGUCGAACGGCAGCACAGUAAGAGCUUGCUCUUACGGGUGGCGAGUGGCGGACGGGUGAGGAAUACAUCGGAAUCUACUUUUUCGUGGGGGAUAACGUAGGGAAACUUACGCUAAUACCGCAUACGACCUACGGGUGAAAGCAGGGGAUCUUCGGACCUUGCGCGAUUGAAUGAGCCGAUGUCGGAUUAGCUAGUUGGCGGGGUAAAGGCCCACCAAGGCGACGAUCCGUAGCUGGUCUGAGAGGAUGAUCAGCCACACUGGAACUGAGACACGGUCCAGACUCCUACGGGAGGCAGCAGGGGGGAAUAUUGGACAAUGGGCGCAAGCCUGAGCCAGCCAUACCGCGUGGGUGAAGAAGGCCUUCGGGUUGUAAAGCCCUUUGUUGGGAAAGAAAAGCAGCAGGUUAAUACCCCGCUGUUCUGACGGUACCCAAAGAAUAAGCACCGGCUAACUUCGUG
RNAcentral lists this ribosomal RNA (491 nucleotides) under uncultured bacterium. Its description in RNAcentral is "partial 16S ribosomal RNA". It matches the Rfam family "Bacterial small subunit ribosomal RNA", at positions 29 to 507 of the family's 1533-position model. The record is from RNAcentral.